This 1899-nucleotide ribosomal RNA is filed under the name Carausius morosus (Indian stick insect). RNAcentral describes it as "SSU rRNA". It matches the Rfam family "Eukaryotic small subunit ribosomal RNA". Lineage: Eukaryota; Metazoa; Arthropoda; Insecta; Phasmatodea; Lonchodidae. The record is from RNAcentral.
UACCUGGUGGAUCCUGCCAGUAGUCAUAUGCUUGUCUCAAAGAUUAAGCCAUGCAUGUCUAAGUGCAAGCCAAAUUAAGGUGAAACCGCGAAUGGCUCAUUAAAUCAGUUAUGGUUCCUUAGAUCUUACCACAUUACUUGGAUAACUGUGGUAAUUCUAGAGCUAAUACAUGCAAAACCGAGUCCCGACCAGAAAUGGAAGGGAUGCUUUUAUUAGAUCAAGACCAAUCGGCCGGCUCGUCCGGUCCGUUUGCUUUGGUGACUCUGGAUAACUUUGGGCUGAUCGCACGGUCCCCGUACCGGCGACUUAUCUUUCAAAUGUCUGCCUUAUCAACUGUCGAUGGCAGGUUCUGCGCCUACCAUGGUUGUAACGGGUAACGGGGAAUCAGGGUUCGAUUCCGGAGAGGGAGCCUGAGAAACGGCUACCACAUCCAAGGAAGGCAGCAGGCGCGCAAAUUACCCACUCCCGGCACGGGGAGGUAGUGACGAAAAAUAACGAUACGAGACUCAUCCGAGGCCCCGUAAUCGGAAUGAGAACACUUUAAACCCUUUAACGAGUAUCCAUUGGAGGGCAAGUCUGGUGCCCACCAGCCGCGGUAAUUCCAGCUCCAAUAGCGUAUAUUAAAGUUGUUGCGGUUAAAAAGCUCGUAGUUGGACUUGUGUCCCACGCUGUCGGUUCACCGUUCGUCGGUGUUUAACUGGCAUGCCCGUGUGGACGUCCUGCCGGUGGAUGCGGUCGGCCGUGGGCCUCUGGUCUGCGUGUCGGCGGUCCGAUGCAAUCCUACCGCGGUGCUCUUUACCGAGUGUCGAGGUGGGCCGGCACGUUUACUUUGAACAAAUUAGAGUGCUUAAAGCAGGCAGUGGUUCGCCUGAAUAUUGUGUGCAUGGAAUAAUGGAAUAGGACCUCGGUUCUAUUUUGUUGGUUUCCGGAACUUGAGGUAAUGAUUAAUAGGGACAAAUGGGGGCAUUCGUAUUGCGACGUUAGAGGUGAAAUUCUUGGAUCGUCGCAAGACGAACCUAAGCGAAAGCAUUUGCCAUAAGUGUUUUCAUUAAUCAAGAACGAAAGUUAGAGGUUCGAAGGCGAUCAGAUACCGCCCUAGUUCUAACCAUAAACGAUGCCAGCUAGCGAUCCGCCGAAGUUCCUCCGAUGACUCGGCGGGCAGCUUCCGGGAAACCAAAGCUUUUGGGUUCCGGGGGAAGUAUGGUUGCAAAGCUGAAACUUAAAGGAAUUGACGGAAGGGCACCACCAGGAGUGGAGCCUGCGGCUUAAUUUGACUCAACACGGGAAACCUCACCAGGCCCGGACACCGGAAGGAUUGACAGAUUGAGAGCUCUUUCUUGAUUCGGUGGGUGGUGGUGCAUGGCCGUUCUUAGUUGGUGGAGCGAUUUGUCUGGUUAAUUCCGAUAACGAACGAGACUCUGGCCUAUUAACUAGUCGCUUCCGGUAUCCCUGAGUGCUACCGGCGACAAAUGAUCUUCUUAGAGGGACAGGCGGCUUCUAGCCGCACGAGAUUGAGCAAUAACAGGUCUGUGAUGCCCUUAGAUGUUCUGGGCCGCACGCGCGCUACACUGAAGGAAUCAGCGUGUCCUCCUAGCCCGAAAGGGCCGGGUAACCCGUUGAACCUCCUUCGUGAUUGGGAUUGGGGCUUGCAAUUGUUCCCCAUGAACGAGGAAUUCCCAGUAAGCGCGAGUCAUAAGCUCGCGUUGAUUACGUCCCUGCCCUUUGUACACACCGCCCGUCGCUACUACCGAUUGAAUGAUUUAGUGAGGUCUUCGGACGGUGGCGCGAUGGUUCUUCCUGAGCCGUUGAUGUUGCUGGAAAGAUGACCAAACUUGAUCAUUUAGAGGAAGUAAAAGUCGUAACAAGGUUUCCGUAGGUGAACCUGCAGAAGGAUCAUUA